Molecule: ribosomal RNA, 694 nt
Filed under: uncultured Microsporidium
Lineage: Eukaryota; Fungi; Microsporidia
Description: sp. partial 18S ribosomal RNA
Rfam family: Microsporidia small subunit ribosomal RNA
Source: RNAcentral
UGACGUGGACACUUGUCUCGAAGAAUAAGCCAUGCAUGUUCGUGAAGCUUUAAGUGAAACUGCGAAUGGCUCAGUAAUAUGGUUCUAAUUUAAUCAACAAGCAAUGGAUAACCACGGGAAACUGUGGCUAAUACAUGAAGAAGAUGUUUUAUGUGAAAAAGAUAUCAGAUGUUGAGUAAGGGACCAGCCUAUCAGUUUGAUUGUAGUGUAAAGGACUACAAUGACGAUGACGGGUACGGGGAAUCAGGGUUCGAUUCCGGAGAGGGAGCCUGAGAAAUGGCUCCCAGUUCUAAGGAACCCAGCAGGCGCGAACCAUUUUCAAUCUACAAAGGAAAGUGUGAAGAGACGUGAAUCAAGAAGUACUUUAAAAGGGUGCUGAUAAACUAGAAGGCAAGCGAGGUGCCAGCAGCUGCGGUAAUUCCCCCUCUAGGAGUGUCUGUGAGUAUUGCUGUGGUUAAAACGUCCGUAGUUGAUAUAAAAAAGGGGUUAAUUCAACUUUUUGUGGUUAUGGAUAAAAGAAUGUGCUUAAGGCGAUCUAAUCCAUAAUACUAAAUGUGAAAAGAGCAGAUGAGGGACACAGGAUUCUGCAGCGAGAGGUGAAAUUUGAUGACCUGCGGAGGACUAACGGAUGCGAAGGCGGUGUUCUAGGAUGUUUCUGUUAAUCAAGGACUAAAGCCAGAGGAUCGAAGGCGAU